RNA transcript from Poecilia reticulata (guppy), 3636 nucleotides. It is a transcript of the gene named coiled-coil domain containing 146, with no coding region annotated. The record is from RefSeq and is a predicted model, not a curated record. NCBI's taxonomy places the organism in Eukaryota, Metazoa, Chordata, Actinopteri, Cyprinodontiformes, Poeciliidae.
ACGCUUAACAGUAGAAUAGCAACAUUACUUUGGUUCCGGAAAAUCAACCAUGGAAGACAUCUCUGCUUCAUGUUUUCGUGUUCUGGAUGAGAUGUUGUCCUCGGGCAAAAUUACCCAGGCUACACUCACAAAGGUGAAAAACGGCUUCGAGCGACUAAAGGAUACGUUAAAGAGUGCGCAGAGUUCUGAGAUGCAGCUUUUGGGAGAGGCAAAGAGACGUCAGGCUGAGCUGGAGCGGCUCCAGGUAGAAGUACAGAGCCCGGAAGAGCAGCGGGGCCCCCCUGAGGAGCCCGACGGUGAGGUCAGCAAACUGAGACGACAGCUCCUGCAGGCGCACAAUGAACUGCGAGCUGCUGAGGACAGAGAGCACGCAGCACGGCACGGGUUGCAGCGUCUCCGGGAAGAGAAGCGGCAUCUGGAGAGAGAAAUUCAAACACAGCCUGCUGAGCUGGAAAGCAACACAAACAUGUUGAAGGACAAACACGAUGCUCUGAAGAAAGAAGUGGCCCAGAGACAACUGGAUGUCAGAACUCUGAUGGAGGAUUUGGAAACACUUGAAACGCUGCUAUUAAAAGAACAAAAAGAGCUGGAAGAAAAGAUGGAGAUCAUUGAAAUCAAAGAGGCUGAGAAAGCCCAGCUUGCCUGCAUACUGAACCGGAUAAUACAGGAAACCGAAAGAAAGCGCUCUUUAUGGGAAGUGGCAAUGAAGAAGAUGGACUCCCUGAAUACGGAGCUUUCGGAAGCGAAGCAUCAGAUGAGGUGUGUGAAUGAGGGUAAUCGGUUCCUGGAGGUGACGAGGGGGGAGGCGAUGCAGGAGCUGGAGCGGCUCAGGGCCCGGAUGGAGGCAUGUCAGAGGGAGAACAGACAGCUACUGAAGAAGCAGGAGAUCUGCAGGGAGGAGUCGUCUGAAAUCAUGGGCAACAGGGGUAUUUUGGAAAUGAAGCUGCUCAACCUCAUGACUGAUAGGAAGCAGCUCUACGAGAGCCGAUCUUUGCAGCUCCAAAAGAAAAAUAAGCAGGUGGAGGCCCUCAGAAGGAUGGAGCAUGCCAUAUCCAUGGCCACUGAGCGGCUAGCACACACGCAAUCCGACUACAAGAACAUACAGUCGCAACUGCUGGAUGUCGUUCCCGAACGAGAGGCCAGCGCUCGGCAAAGGAUGGAGCUGCAGAAGGAGAUUGAUGCGCUCGAAGCCGGCUUUGAAAAGCAGGUUUCUAUGGCUGAAGAAAACCAGAAGAAGCAUCAGAACGGGGUGAUUCAAGAGCUGCUUAGGGAGUCAAAUCACCUCAGAGAAGAACUCCAUAACCUCGGAUGUCUAACGCAGAUCAAAGCGGAGGAGCGGAGCAAGAAGAACCGGGAACGUCUCAAGGCAGAGCAACUGAGCGAGCGCUUCCAGCAGGAGCUCAGAGAGAGAGAGCUGAUCAUCAUGGACCACAACAAGCUCAACGUGGUGCUUCAGCGCAGAAUAUCACAGUACUCAAAACUGUGUGACAAGUUCCUGGAAGAGAAGAAUAAGUAUGCGCGGCUGAAGCAGAUUGCCUCACAGACUAUCUCCGAAUUGACGGAGCAACUUAACAUCCUUGAAAACGAGAUGAAAAUCCAGCGCUCUAUUGCUGACAGCAAGGACAGAUUACUGACAAAGACUCGCAUGAAGGUCUCCAGCAGCUCCAAAAUGAGGGAGAAACUGCGUAAUGAGAUCUCUAAGUUCACAUGGAAACGACACCAAAUCCGUCAGCAGCAUGAGGACAACAAACUGGAGUUAAUGAAUCUCACCCAAAUGAUCAAGUUCCACGAGGGGAUUCUUCUGGACGUAAAGAGAAGUCAUGAAAACGCCAUCCAAAGACGCAAUUUUCUGGGGUUACGGCUCUUGGAGCAGGACGGAGUUUUGUCAAACUUUUACGACCAUGUGAAGAACCUGGAGGCAGCCGUCGCCAAAAGCUACAGAGCAACCGAGACGGCGGAGAAGGACGCGAGAGAACUGCAGAUUGAGAUUAAUGAGGAGAAGAGGCAAGUAGACCUGAAGAAGAGGAAGGUGUUACUCAAGAGGAAACAGGAGGAGGAGAUCAUCACACUGCAAAUCAAGCUGUCGAAAGCAAGAGACGCGACCCUGAAAAGCGUGACUCGUACCCUUGAAUGCCGGGAGUUAAAGGGCGACGACCCACCGGCUCCAGAACUCGUCAAGAAAAUGGAGCAGCUGGAGGCGAACUUGGCCGAGCGCGAGCGUCAGCUGCUGGAGAAAGAACUCCAGGUGGAGCGGGUGACCUGGAUGUCGGAGCCGCUGGGGGAGCAGGCGGAGAGCUGCAGGCUCCACAGCCUCUCCGUGGCAAAGAAGCUGAAUGAGGCCCGGGCCAAAAUCUUCAACAUCAACCUCUGUUUGAUGGCCGUUUCCGCAGAAGUGUCCAUGAAGCAGGCGAUCGCUUUGUCUGAACACCGACGGAUGAAAGAGAGAGAGCUGCAGCUGUCAGAAGCCAGAGACAAGAUGCUGAAAAACCCCGUUGAGUCCAUCGAGUCGGAGGACGAGGCCUCGCCAACUUCAGAACUCGACAAUAACAUGGAGCAGCUGUCAGAAUCCAGAGACACGAGGCCAGAAAGCAUCAAUGAGUCCAACGAUUCAGAGGACGAGGCCUCGUCACCUUCAGAACUUCACAGAGAAAUGGAGGAGCUGCCUGAGCGUGAGAGUCAGCAGCAGCCGGAAGAAGAAGGAGCGGAGCAGGAGACCGGUCUGUCAAAGCCGCUGGUGGAGCAGACGGAGGUCUCCAGACUCGACGGAUUCGGCGACCUCUCCGAGUCAUGGAAGCUGCCAAAAGUGCCGUGGUAUUUUGACCCAGAGGAGACCUUUAGGAGGGCGGAGCGAGACAGGAGACUGAGGCAGAGAGCAAAAGAAGAGAAAAAGAGGAACAUGCCACUUGGAUUCCAGAUUUAUUCAAAACAUGGUGCUGUAUCACAACUAGAAUCUCCCUGCUUUUGGAAAAGUGCAAUUAUGUCUUUUUCAAGUGAAUCCAGGAUGUUGAAUCUUCUGUGGCCUUAACAAAAAAACAAAAAAGGGUCCUGCAUUAAGGUUGACGUAUCGCAGCUGCAUUCGAGCUACGAGAGAGGGACAGAAAGCUGGAAGAGAGUGAGGAGAGGAAAAGUACCUUAUUCCCCGCUGUUAUCUACCGGAUUUCAUCAAAUCUAGGACGAGGUUAAAAACUACCACGAGCUUCUAGACAUCAGUCUUCUGAGGUCUGCGAGUUCGGAACAUAUUUCUUAACAGAGCUCCAGUGGGAGGCAGACCUACUUCUUUGUGUUCUCCAAGUGAUUCACAUGGCUGGAGGCUUUGCUCUCGGACCGCUGAAACAACAACAACACCACCACCAUCAUCAUCAUCAUCAUGGGAGGGAUGAAAGUACACUCACACUGUUGGACUAUACCCACAGCUCUGCCCAGAAACCUUGGAGCCGCGCGGCCUGCGCAGCGGUACGCGGAAACAAACAAGCAAGGACAAACCAGAGUUGGCGAAGGACAAGGACCGCAUGCAGCUCUUGAGGAAAACACCAAGGUUUUGUCUACAGCGCAAAUAUGAAACACGAAAAUAUGCAAACAAAUAUCCUGCUACUGAGACAAUAACAUAUUGAUUCUAACAGGAAUUAAUUACCUGCA